CCUACGGGUGGCAGCAGUGAGGAAUAUUGGUCAAUGGGCGGAAGCCUGAACCAGCCAAGUAGCGUGCGGGAUGAAGGCCCUACGGGUCGUAAACCGCUUUUGCCCGGGGACAACACCCUCCACUUGUGGAGGUCUGCAGGUACCGUGCGCAUAAGGCCCGGCAAAUUCCGUGCCAGCCGCCGCGGUUAUAAGGAAGGCCCGAGCGUUAUCCGGAUUUAUUGGGAUUAAGGGGAGCGUAGGCGGGCGUUCAAGGCAGCGGUAAAAGUGUGGGGCUCAAACCCGCCCCGCAGUUGAAACUGGACGCCUUGAGUUAACGACAGGUAGGCGGAAUUCGUGGUGUAGCGGUGAAAUGCAUAGAUAUCACGAGGAACGCCGAUUGCGAAGGCAGCCUGCCGGGGUGCGACUGACGCUGAGGCACGAAGGUGCGGGUAUCGAACAGGAUUAGAUACCCCAGUAGUC
RNAcentral lists this ribosomal RNA (459 nucleotides) under uncultured bacterium. RNAcentral's name for it is "partial 16S ribosomal RNA". It matches the Rfam family "Bacterial small subunit ribosomal RNA", at positions 338 to 795 of the family's 1533-position model. The record is from RNAcentral.